CACCCUAAUAUUAUGUGAAAACAUAAACAAAUUUGGAAAGUCGAAAAAAGAGGAAUCAACGAGGUGGGCCCCAAUCUUUUCAAUAUUCUACUUAUUUAGAAGCGGGAGUUGAGGUGCUUUUUGUCGUCCGGCUUCUGCAAUUACAACAAACUCCCUUCUUUGUAUCAAAAUCCGGGGUUAUUUUGAUCUUUCUGUCAUGUCUUACACAGCCGAUUUUGUGGACGCAAAAUCGCUGAAUUCUUUUUCGUUCCCUCCGUGCUCUGUUUCUCUCUCUUGGGUACGCGCGCCUUUUUGUCGUCUCCUUCGCUUCCGGCGUGGAAGAUAAACUGGUUCUUGCUUUUGGCGCUGUGACCUGUUCUUCUCGCUCUGCACCACCUACGUUUUUGGUGGGUAUCUGCAAUUAACGUUGUCCCUUGAAGUCUGUUUACUUUGGUACCCCUUGCUUCUGCAUAUUUGCUCUUUAACCUCAACGUUAUAGCGGACAAUUUACCGCACUGGUUAGCUGUGAUCGCCCAAUAAAUUGUGAAACACCUUUUGUUUUGCUUGGGUUUCCUCCUUGUUUUUGCAGCUUCACUUUUCUGCUAUCUUUCUGUUUGGUGGCUGAAAGAUUAUGAUCUUAGACUUCAAACUGACUUAUCUAAGUGGGGCACUGCAAUUGCUCACCUUAUCAACAGUUUCCACAUGCCACAAGGAUCUAAGCUAGAAAAGAAACAAGUAAAAGCUCUAACCUUCAGCUUCCUAUGGGGUGUCUUCCAACGAUUUUGAUGACUGUGGAUCUGCGUGUUUCCAACGUUCAGUCUUAAAAGCCUAUGAGAACAGUAAGCAGCCUACAAUCUUGACGUAAUGGGAGGACUUCACUCAGAUUGUCGGAAGCACCCUAGAUACACAGGCUGCUGAAUAUCCAUAAUUAUAGCAAACGAGUUGCACGAACCAACUAUGCUGGAUUAUUUUGUCGACAAGGUACAACCCGGUCAUACUGAUAAAUCCACCAUAUUUCUAAGUUGGAGAACUUAUGAACUGCCCUGUACAUAUACAAUGUUGGAGACAAGGAAGAUAUAAUGGCAAGGUACAGAUAGGCAAGUUCUCCGCAAAUAGCUUCAUCAACUGUACUUGUACCAGUACAUGAUAACAUAGUACCAACUGCAGAGAUUCAGCCGUAGUCUCCUAUACAUCUCUUUCGCAUCGGAGGUAAAAUGUUGCUGCCGGCUACUGACCAAGAGCUCUAUGAACUAUUAUGUUCCCACUGCGGGCUAUAAUACAGAAUAGCUGUAAGGAGAAUUGUUCAUUGUGCAAGUUGCAACAGACGUGCGAUGUUAAUACCCAGAUAAAAUAACACACAAUAACUUGCAUAUCAUGGCCUGCUUUGAUGUAUAAUUGCAGAUUUCAGUGGAACAGUUAUUGCGACCUUAUCAAGCCAAUUAGAAGAGAAUUUUCUUGAAAUUACCUCUGCAAAAAUGUAUGAAAUAAUCUGUGUAAAGGUAUGUGAGUGAGAAUAAGAGACUUUAUUAGUCAUUUCUGAGAAUUCAUUGCACUUUAGAAAAACAUUCUACCCUUAUUGAGAUGCCAUUGAGAUCAAAAGCAUGACAGACUAUAGUCUUGGUUAAAGAGCUUUCACAACCCAUGGUGUCAUUGUUUAGGUUUCCUUGGUUUACUGCCAAAUGCAAACUUGAUUUUGGA
Nicotiana attenuata is the source of this 1677-nucleotide long non-coding RNA. RefSeq lists it as uncharacterized. The record is from RefSeq and is a predicted model, not a curated record. Lineage: Eukaryota; Viridiplantae; Streptophyta; Magnoliopsida; Solanales; Solanaceae. The transcript is spliced from 8 exons.